CUUGUUAUAAUGAAUGAUGGGAAGGGAUAGCUGCAGGCCAGACAGGGCAGAGGCUGCUGGGAGGUGGCUCAACUCUAGGGACAUCUCAUAGUCCACUGGUUGCUAGAGAAGGGGUCCACAUGAUGACUGCGAGGGAAGG
Molecule: long non-coding RNA, 139 nt
Organism: Perognathus longimembris pacificus (Pacific pocket mouse)
Lineage: Eukaryota; Metazoa; Chordata; Mammalia; Rodentia; Heteromyidae
Exons: 3
Source: RefSeq, a predicted model, not a curated record